RNAcentral lists this long non-coding RNA (276 nucleotides) under Rattus norvegicus (Norway rat). RNAcentral's name for it is "long non-coding RNA NONRATT016747". The record is from RNAcentral. Lineage: Eukaryota; Metazoa; Chordata; Mammalia; Rodentia; Muridae.
GGCAGAAGGCUGGAAGGGAAGCAGAUGCUUGCACGAUGGGCUGAGCCAUUCUGAACUGCUGUUCCCACCUGUAUGACUCCUGCAUACUGACUGUUAAACAUCCCCAGCCUCAAAAGUUCAGAAGUACGGGUGCAUGUUUCAUAACCUGGAAGGACAUCCAUGGCAAAUCACCAAGGGAUAGAAAGGUGACCAAGCCUUAUGUCUUUUAGAACUCAAAAGGCUGUGUUGUUUAUGUGUCUAUACUAAAAAGUUCACAGAGAUUACACAUAUGGCCUA